GCGGCUAUGGUCCAGCCUGGCUAGGACGAGGGCCUUCCAAGCCUUUAAGCCGGGUCCAAAUCCCGGUAGCCGCACCA
RNAcentral lists this transfer RNA (77 nucleotides) under Candidatus Helarchaeota archaeon. Its description in RNAcentral is "tRNA-Gly". It matches the Rfam family "tRNA". Rfam says of the family: Transfer RNA (tRNA) molecules are approximately 80 nucleotides in length. Their secondary structure includes four short double-helical elements and three loops (D, anti-codon, and T loops). Further hydrogen bonds mediate the characteristic L-shaped molecular structure. tRNAs have two regions of fundamental functional importance: the anti-codon, which is responsible for specific mRNA codon recognition, and the 3' end, to which the tRNAs corresponding amino acid is attached (by aminoacyl-tRNA synthetases). tRNAs cope with the degeneracy of the genetic code in two manners: having more than one tRNA (with a specific anti-codon) for a particular amino acid; and 'wobble' base-pairing, i.e. permitting non-standard base-pairing at the 3rd anti-codon position. Lineage: Archaea; Promethearchaeati; Candidatus Helarchaeota. The record is from RNAcentral.